Molecule: long non-coding RNA, 1151 nt
Filed under: Homo sapiens (human)
Lineage: Eukaryota; Metazoa; Chordata; Mammalia; Primates; Hominidae
Description: HSALNT0048560
Source: RNAcentral
CUUCAGGUGGGCUGCACAGAGCCUACACCACUUUUCAACUUAGCCUCAGCAUUCAGGGAAGUCUGCUUUUCAGCUCCACCUUCUGCCUUGGGAAGGCCCGAGAGCCGACUGGCCACUUUGAGGCAGGAGACUAGGGUCUGGAGGCAGGAAACCUAAGGCUGAUUCACGCUGACUUCCUAGAACCAAAUUGAAAGGAAAACCCCAACUUUCCAUACCUAAGUAGCAAAAGGACCAGGGGCGACUCCCUUUGAAAACCACCCACCCGUUUCUGCUGGAAAACUGAAAGUACCUCUGAUUGGUUGCUUCCUGCAACCGAUCAGAUAUUUGCAUAGGAGUGUAACUUUGUAACUUCACUUCAGUCUCUGAUGAGUUGCUUUCUGCAACCAAUCAGAUUGAUUUCGGGCCACUACUUUAUUUGCAUGGGGUGAACACCAUGUGGCCAAUGGGAAACCUCUAGGGGGUAUUCGGACCCCAGAAGAUUCUGCAACUGGGCUCUUGAGUCCCUAUGCUCGGGGCGCUCCCACCCUAUGGAGUGUGCUUUCAUUUUCAAUAAAUCUCUGCUUUUGUUGCUUCAUUCUUUCCUUGCUUUGUUUGUGGGUUUUGUCCAACUCUUUGUUCAAAAUGCCAAGAACCUGGACACCCUCCACUGGUAACAGCUUCACUGCCUUGAAGUCCAUCAGGGACCAGGUGGCCACAGAAAUGAUCAUGAUAUGGAGCCUGCAUAUCAUCUGGAGUUACUCCAGCAAGGCAGGCCAUUCCAAUUCGGUGAUGUGAUACCUGACAUUAUUUACUCCAGAUGUGAUACUGACAUUAUUUACUCCAGAUGUGAUGCCUGACAUUAUUUACUCCAGAUGUGAUAACUGACAUUAUUUACUGCAGAUGUGAUACUGACAUUAUUUAUUCCAGAUGUAAUGCCUGACAUUAUUUACUCCAGGUGUGAUACUGACAUUAUUUACUGCAGAUGUGAUACCUGACAUUAUUUACUCCAGAUGUGAUAUUGACAUUAUUUACUCCAGAUGUGAUACUGACAUUAUUUACUCCAGAUGUGAUACCUGACAUUAUUUACUCCAGAUGUGAUGCCUGACAUUAUUUACUCCAGAUGUGAUACUGACAUUAUUUACUCCAGAUGUGAUACUGACAUUAUUUACUCC